Long non-coding RNA from Nerophis ophidion (straightnose pipefish), 4224 nucleotides. RefSeq lists it as uncharacterized. The transcript has 4 exons. The record is from RefSeq and is a predicted model, not a curated record. NCBI's taxonomy places the organism in Eukaryota, Metazoa, Chordata, Actinopteri, Syngnathiformes, Syngnathidae.
UUGCAUAACACACCCAAACAAAGGCAGCGUCUGGAGCCACUUUGACAAACAUGUGGACUACCUUGCAGGAGUGAACGACGUGGCUGACCGAGCCACAAAAAGACAGAAAGUGUUUGCAUAAAGGAGGUGGAGAAAGACGAGAGAGGCACACAAGAACGACUCCGGCUAGUGAAAAGCAGAAAACAUCUUUGGAAGAAUUUAAUCUCGACCUGAAGAAUUAUGUCCCUAUGAUCCCUGAUCUCAGACAUAGGACCUCUGGAUGAUGAACUGAUCACUCCAACAACGAGUAUAACUCCUUCAGUGGGGAAAUGCCAUGCUGUCAACUUGUCUGCUCAGUCCUGGGUGGUCACAGUUUGGCCUAGGCUGAGUGUGUGACAACAACACACACUCACACAGACAAGUUAAUAUCCUGCCCUGCUCUCUCACAACUAACCUCUGGCUUCGAUUUCGCUACAAAUAAAAAAGUAUGGCAGUUGUCCUUGUUGCCUCAUAAGGAUGGACCCCAAAGACCAAGCAGUGAGUCUCCUAAACAAGAUUUGGGCCAAGCUGCAAAGUCUGCCAAACUCCAGCCCCAUCGAGCUGGGAGCUUUCCUCGUCCUCUUGACAUUCAUCGCGGUGUUCCUUACCAUGAUGGUGGUGACCUGUGCGUGCUGCUGCUGCUGCUGCUGCCGGAAAGCCAGACGAAAGGGUGCGGACUUUUAAAGGCAUUUGAACUACAUGCCAAAAUGUUAAACAGGUUUUUUCCCCAAGGCUACCAAGUGUCAGGAUGAGAACUUGUGCGAGGAGUCGUGCUCAUAAGUCAGGCCGGGCAACAAGUGUGUGUCCAGCCCUCCAAAACAAAGCAACUGUCACUAACACGGAUGUUCUGCUUACUGCUAAACCCCCAGACUUUCAGGAAUAUCGGCAGUCCUUGGAGCGCUCAUGUACAAUAACAUCAUUCUUGACCAGAGGACCUGAGACCAAUCCAAUUUCAAAGGGGAACUACCCUUUUUUUUGUUUUUUUUUUGUUUACAAUCCUUAUGUAAGACAGCAACACGUAUGUUCAAAGUUCCCUCUAAGGUGGGCGCCUGCCCAAUCUGAACUGUAAACAAAAACAAAAAAACACAUAGCUAUUUGUUCUGUAGGGAUUUGCGAAGCAACUGUCAGUGGCCAUAACAGAAAAAAGAAUUUUGUCAACACUGUUAGGUUUUUGUCAAGACACUUUAAGGAGGACAGGGAUCUCAUUGAUCACUUUAUUGAAAAAAAAUUGUUUGUCGGCCGUAAACACACCAUAAAACAUUAGUAAAAAACUUCUGUCUAGCUCGGAGGUCAGCAACCUGUGGCUCUAGAGCCACAUGCAGUUAGAGUGUCCGCCCAGAGAUCGGUAGGUUGUGAGUUCAAACCCAGGCCGAGUCAUACCAAAGACUAUAGAAAUGGGACCCAUUACCUCCCUGCUUGGCACUCAACAUCAAGGGUUGGAAUUGGGGGUUAAAUCACCAAAAUGAUUCCCGAGCGCGGCCACCGCUGAUGCUCACUGCUUCCCUCACCUCCCAGGAGGUGGAACAAGUGGAUGGGUCAAAUGCAGAGGACACAUUUCACCACACAUGAUGUGUGUGACUAUCAGUAGUACUUUAACUUCUUUUUUUUUUUUAGCUCUGACCUUGUAGCUCCCCGGAAGUUUUUCAAAAAAUGCAUACACAUUUUUGUUUUAAUAUGGUUUCUUUAGAAGCACAAACAUUGCACACACCUUCCUAACUGUUAGAAAUCCCACUGUUUAUAUUACACAUGCUUUACUGAUGAGAGUAUUUGGCGAGCGCUGUUUUGUCCUAAAUUCAGCGGUCUCUGAACUUGCCGUAUUUUGAUUACAGUACAACUUUCUGCGACACUGCCACAGAAAGACAUGUUUUAUGCCACUCCUUCUUUGUCUAAUUUUGUCCAACAAACCUUGUAUGCUUUGCAUGAAUGCACAAAGGUGAGCUUCGUAUUGACUUGUGUGGAGUGCUAAUCAGGCAUAUUUGGUCACUGCAUGAUUGCAAGCUAAUCGAUGCUAACGUGCUAGCUAGACCAGUGGUCCCCAACCACCCGUCCGUGACACAUUUGCUACCGGGCCGCAGAAAAACCUUAAAUAAUUUAUAAACGACUGCAUUUUCUUCAACUUAACUUUCGCUUGUCCCACGAGAUACAUAAGCUUGUUUACAGGAACUCCAUCCAUCGACCCAUCCAUUUUCUACUGCUUUUGGGGUCGCUAGAGUCUAUCUCAGCUGUAUUCAGGGGUUAUAUUUUUUAUAACUUUGUGACAUGAUACAAUGCAGAUUAAUGAGCAUAUACAAUAUAAAAUGUGACAGAUUGUCGCCAAAGGCUGAUUUCCAUCUGCAUCUCAUUGCAAAGAAACAAACCCAGGGCUCCCACUAAUUCAGCAUUAUAGUAAGUUGUAUUUUAAUGCACUUAUUUUUGCUGUAUUUAUCUGGCACAAGUGUAAAGCUGGUCCCUAAAAGUAAUGCCAGGCCGUGGUGCAAAAAAGGUUGGGGACAACGGAUCUAGACUAGCUGUAUGUACAUAUUGCAUCAUCAUGCCACGCUUGUAAGUAUAUUUAAGCUCAUUUCGUUUCCUUUACUUAUGUCCUCUGUGUAUUCAAUUUAUAUUUGCAUGUCUCAUGAGGGCUUCACGGUGGCAGAGGGGUUAGUGCGUCUGCCUGGCAGUACGAAGGUACUGAGUAGUCCUGGGUUUAAUCUCGGGCUCGGGAUCUUUCUGUGUGGAGUUUGCAUGUCCUCCCCGUGAAUGCGUGGGUUCCUUCUGGGUACUCCGACUUCCUCCCACUUCCAAAGACAUGCACCUGGGGAUAGGUUGAUUGGCAACACUAAAUUGGCCCUAGUGUGUGAAUGUGAGUGUGAAUGUUAUCUGUCUAUCUGUGUUGGCCCUGCGAUGAGGUGGCGACUUGUCCAGGGUGUACCCCGCCUCCCGCCCAAUUGUAGCUGAGAUAGGCACCAGCGCCCCCCGCGACCCCAAAGGGAAUAAGCGGCAGAAAAUGGAAUGAUGGAUGGAUUAUGAGAAUGUGAUUUAAAUCAAAACAGCGCUUUUAUUGCAGAACAGUAAAUGUUUUACUGCCUGUAAUUUAAAGAAUUAAGUUUAUUGCAGUUACAUGUUGGCUAUCAUCCUGAAACCACAACGUUCUGCUAUACAUGCAACAAGUGAUUAUAGUGGCCAGGUGUGCCAUCUGCUUGACAUGUAAAGUGCAUUAUUGUAUUUGUCAUGCUGUCUUUAAAACAAACAAGGGGAUACAUUUUUGUAUGUGUGAUUCAUUCACUUACCUUUCCUGCUCGCAAAAGGACACCAUGGCUUCAAGGUCUUUAAUGGCUGCUUUGUCACAUUCUUUUGCCGAGUUGCGCUUUUCCUGCAAGCAAAAGACAGGUACACCUUUUAAAUCAGGGGUCUCAAACUCAAUUUAUCUGGGGGCCACUGGAUGCAGAAACUGGGUAAGGCUGGGCCGCAAGAAAAUAUUUCUUAAAAAAUCCAACAUGCACUUGUUAAUCAAUUCACCUUCUAUAAAUGGCUUUCUUGCCCUAGCAACAUACUUGCCAAUCCUCACGAUUUUUCCGGGAGACUCCUGAAUUUCAGUGCACCUCCCGACAAUCUACCGGUGCAACCAUUCUCCCGAAUUUUUCCCAAUUUUCACCUGGCUUACAUUAUUAAGGGCUGUCGUGAUUGCACUGCCUUUAACGUCCUCUACAACAGUGGUUCUCAACCCCCUGUGAACAUUUUUUUAAUUCAAGUACCCCCUAAUCACAGCAAAGCAUUUUUGGUUGAAAAAAGGAGAUAAAGAAGUAAAAUACAGCACUAUGUCAUCAGUUUCUGAUUUAUUAAUUUGUAUAACAGUGCAAAAUAUUGCUAAUUUGUAGUGGUCUUUCUUGAACUAUUUGGAAAAAAAUAUUUAAAAAAUAACUAAAAAACUUGUUGAAAAAUAAACAAGUGUUUCAAUUAUAAAUAAAGAUUUCUACACAUACUGUAGAAGUAAUCAUCAACUUAAAGUGCCCUCUUUGGGGAUUGUAAUAGAGAUACAUUCAAGAACUUUUUCUAAACAUGUCUUCACAAAAAAAGAAAUCUUUAACAUCAUUAAUUAUGGAACAUGUCCACAAAAAGUCUAGCUGUCAACACUGAAUGUUGGAUAGUUGUAUUACUUUUCCACAGUUUAUGAACUUACAUUCAUACUUCAUUGAAGUAUUAUUCAAUAAACAUAUGUAUAAAGGA